CUUCCCUGAAGUUCCUGGAACCUGAGGCCAUCUGUGUGCCUCGGCCUGGACUCUGCCCUGAAAUCGCCCCCAUUUCUGCAUCAGGUGUCACAUCCUUCACGUUGUCUUUCCACCUUCUCGCCUCCUUCUCAUCAGGAUCCUUGUGACGAUGCUCAGGGCUGUCCAGGUAACCAGAGGAUCUUUGGUCUCAAGAUGCUCAACUUAAUCACACCUGCCAAGUGCACUCUACAGAAGGAAGGUGGGAGCAUCUGAACAGGCAGGUGCGUCUUCAGAGUCCUCGGAGAAGCCAUCUUGUUGGCGAGAUCCAGACCUGCAACAAGGCUGCUGCUCAACUAACACUUCUCAUCCACAUCUCUGUUGUUUUGCCAGCGUCUGGAGUCAUACUCACCACGUGCUCGGUGGAUUCUUUACCACGUGAGCCACCAGGGAAGCCCAUACGUAGAAGGUAAAAUUCAAUAUUUGUGAAGGGGCCAUGGCAAUUUGAUGUGAGUAAAGAUAAUUUUUUGGCCUGAUGGUGCUGGAAUGACUGGCUCAAUCAAUCAUGGGUUUUCAACAGGCAGUAUUUUUAGAAAUUUUUAGGGAUGAUUAGAGUUUGAGAGGUUUAAUAACGUGCUGAAGGUUGUCUAGACAAGAAUCCAAACCAGAACUGUUUGAGUCCAAAGUCUCUUUUCACCAUCAGGUUGGGUCCUACCGCAAAGCUGCUCUUUGCUGCUAUUUACUCUAUAAAAACACUCCCUUACAGAGUUGUGAACGCAGCGAGGGAAGGAGAGGAUGGGAUGAAGUGAAAGAGUAGCAUUGA
Odocoileus virginianus texanus is the source of this 799-nucleotide non-coding RNA. NCBI's taxonomy places the organism in Eukaryota, Metazoa, Chordata, Mammalia, Artiodactyla, Cervidae. The record is from RefSeq and is a predicted model, not a curated record.